GUUGAUGUUUUUGGGUUUAGAUUUGAAGGUUUAGGGUUUUAGGGUUUAGAGUUUACGUUUAGGGUUUAGAGUUGAUGUUUUAGGAUUUAGAUUUAAAGGUUUAGGGUACAAAUUUAAGAAAAAUAUAGGGUUUAGGGUUUACGUUUAGGGUUUAGAGUUGAUGUUUUUGGGUUUAGAUUUGAAGGUUUAGAGUUUAGGGUUUAGAGUUGAUCUUUCGGGGUUUAGGGUUUAGAGUUGAUGAUUUAGGGUUUAGGGUUUAGAGAUGAUGAUUUAGGGUUUAAAGUUGAUGUGUUGAGUUUAGAUUUAGGGUUUAGAGUUGAUGUUUUAGGGUUUAGAUUUGAAGGUUUAGGGUUUAGAGUUUAGGGUUUAGAGUUGAUGUUUUGGGGUUUAGGGUUUAGAGUUGAUGUUUCGUGGUUUAGGAUUUAGAGUUGAUGAUUUAGGGUUUAGAGUUGAUGAUUUAAGUUUAAAUUAGUUAAUUUUUUUUUGUCAAAGUUAAUCAAAACGUUAUAAAUAUUUUUUACCCUUCAUUAAAGAUAAAGGUAAAAGUAAUUAGUGCAAACAUGAAAAGUGGUAUUUUGAAAAUGAUAUUUUUGGCAAUUUUCCUUUAUUAAAUAUAAGAAUAUAUAGGCAUGUGUACAUUUAUACGGAACCGGAGAACCAAACCAAAUUAAACUUCUUUUCUAGGAUCGAUUAAGAUUUGGGUUCUACCAAUUACGAGAACAAAUCUUAUAUCUCUAGAACCCGAGAGUAGGAAUCAAAAAUUUGUUUCACAUAUUUUUAAUAUUUAUUUAGCAAAACUAUAAAAUAUUUUUUCAGCAAUCAAACAUUAUUUUGUAUCACUUAUUUUAUCAAAACCCCAC
Molecule: long non-coding RNA, 860 nt
Filed under: Brassica napus (rape)
Lineage: Eukaryota; Viridiplantae; Streptophyta; Magnoliopsida; Brassicales; Brassicaceae
Description: long non-coding RNA (BNAP_LNC009784)
Source: RNAcentral